GACGAACGCUGGCGGCGUGCUUAACACAUGCAAGUCGAACGGAAAGGCCCGGCUUUUGCGGGGCUCUCGAUUGCCGAACGCGUGUGUAACACGUGAGUAACCUCCCCCUGACUUUGGGGUAACUUCUGGAAACUGGGGCUCAUACCGGAUAUGAUCUCCUGCUCCAUGUGGGGGGUUGGAAAGUUUCGGCGGUUCGGGCUGGACUCGCUGCUUAUCAGCUUGUUGGUCGGGUAGUGGCUUACCACGGCUUUGACGGGUAGCCUGCCUUGGAGGGUGACCGGCCACAAUGCGACUGAGGUACGCCCCAGAAGCCAACGGUAGGCAGUAGUCGGGAGUAUUACGGAACGGGCGGAAGCCUGAGGCAGAAGUGCCGGGAUCGGAAUAACGGGCUUCGGGUUAUAAACCGCUUUCGACGGUAACGAGCAGUGCGUGACGGUAAUGGGUAAAGAAGCAACGGCUAACUACGUG
RNAcentral lists this ribosomal RNA (468 nucleotides) under uncultured bacterium. RNAcentral describes it as "partial 16S ribosomal RNA". It matches the Rfam family "Bacterial small subunit ribosomal RNA", at positions 28 to 507 of the family's 1533-position model. The record is from RNAcentral.